This 3640-nucleotide long non-coding RNA is filed under the name Mus musculus (house mouse). RNAcentral's name for it is "long non-coding RNA chr9:13544650-13548290". Lineage: Eukaryota; Metazoa; Chordata; Mammalia; Rodentia; Muridae. The record is from RNAcentral.
ACCUUGAAUGUUUGCCUGUAAUUUCUGCAUGCUUUGAUGUUCUAGCCUAGCACGUCAGCAAAAAGAGAAAAAAUGAAAAAUCCCCAUAAAAGAUGGCUAAUUUAAUAGUAUCAUUUAUUUUUCUUUAAUUUGGAGCAAUUGCAACUGUGGGCCUCAACAGCAUUUCGAAUUGCAUACCAGAUGAGGCUCUUACUUAAACACAAAGAAAUGGACACACACAGACAGACACACCAUACUCAACAAAACAGAAAGAAAGACACAUACCCAUGUGCAUACAUAUAGACAGACAGUCACAAACACACACACAAAUGAAGCUAACAUCUCAGAGUAUUUGGUUUUCCCUACUUCCUUUAACACAAGGGCAGUAACUAUUCCCAAAUAAUGUUUCCUAUCUUAAAUAUUCUUUGCUCUUUCAUCCCUUAUUCCUUUGUUGUUCCAUGAAUAUACUUUUGAAGAAAUGGGCUUUGGGUUACUGAUAAUUUCAGAAUAAAUGUGUCCACUGAAUGCAAAGAUAUUCAAAGGUAAUAGAAAUGGACCCCACAACCUGGAUGCUCCUUUCUAAAAGAGCAUGUAUUAUUUCUAAGUUUAUUUUAUGGCCUAGGAAGCCUCAGGUCCAAAUUAAAACCUAGCUCCAUACAUUGUCAGAACUUGGGGAUUAAGCAUCGACACAUCUUGUAGUUGAAGCAGUGACCUGUCACCUGUAUGGCUGUCUUCAAAUACUCCUAAUGAUAUUUUGGAGGAAAAAAAAAAGUCCCUCAUUACCACAUGAGUUGGGAGAAAAAAAUGAACUCACAGAUCACCAGCAUCUCUGCUCCUCUCCCCAUGUCAUCCCUGUCCUGUUGGGAUGCGGUUCAGUUCCCAGGAGACUGGAAUGCCCCUGAAAAUUGACAGUCACAUUCUAUUAUAACAUAUUUUCCCCAUUUAAUAACAUGGCCUAGGUAAUGACUCAUAACCCUCAAAGGACCUCCUGCCACUGACAGCUGAACUCAAGUAAUUGAGAGCACCAUGCAAUUUGGCAGUGACUGCACCUUUAUGGUUGGAUCAAGCAUUAAAGCAACAGUAUAUCUGGAUAGGCUUUCAGUAAAGUGACAGCCUCGUGAUGCGUUUCUGAAUCCGUUUUACAUGUGUAACUCUGGUGUCCCCAGAUUGUGUAGCCUAGAAUAGGGCUAUGAGUGCUUACUCUAUUCCAUUGUAAAUCUAUUACAGAUAGGGACAUUUCCUCUUUCUCAUCUCUGUCAUUUCAGUGUCGGGAUUAUAGAAUGUAACCUUGGCAUAGAGUGUGCUCAGUCAUCAUUUUCUCUUCCUCUUCCUAUGUCGGUUGGGUAUACAGACUUUGACAGGAACCACCACCUAUCAACAUCAGGACAACCACAUUCUCUAACAGCCGUGUAAGCCCUGUGUGUAUUAACAUGACUUAUUUACUCAUGCAGCCUCAAUGUGUAUAGCUGCUUCCUUCCUACUCCCUGAUGGUUUCAGUUAGGACUUCUUGAGACAUUUCCACAAAUGUCCACAUCCAUCCUUCUCAUGAACACAGCUCAUAUAGCUAGAGUCGGCCUCACUUUUGACUUCUCACUGGCAUCCUCAGAGAAUCACAGCUUGUUCUGGGACUCUCAGAAGCCUGUACUCUAUCUCAAGAGCGUCCCUCCUCCUCACCAUUAUCAGCACUUCAGCAUACAAAUACAACCUGGUACUUUAGCCCCUUUUCAGCUUUAAGACAUGUCUCCUACAUCACUAGGACUGUGCAUGUGUGUGUUCAUGUUUGUGUUCAUGUGUGUGUGUUCAUGUUUGUGUUCAUGUGUGUGCGUUCAUGAGUGCUUCUAUUGAAGCAUGCGCACAUGCACACAGUGCAUGCAAAGUCUAGAGAUCCAUAUCCGAUGUCUUAUCAAUCAAACUCCAGUUUGUUUUCUGGCCCCACUAAUUCUGCUGCACUGGUUGGCCUGAGAUGCUCCAGUGAUCCUUGUGUCUCCCCUCCCCAGCUCUGGAUUACACAUAUUCUGCUAGCCCCAUAUGCUUACACAUGUACUGGGAUCAAGCUCAGGUCCUCACACUUGAGCAGCAAACACUUCAACAACUGAGUCACAUCCUUAUUGCCUCAAGGCUAACUUUGUUCCUUGGCAUGUCUAUAUAUAUAUAUAUAUAUAUAUAUAUAUAUAUAUAUGCCGCAUGCAUCUGGUAUAUUUCAAUAAGCAUUCAGUAAUUAAUAGUAUAGUCAUUUCUGAAUUAAACCUUGAAUAUGUAAUUCCAUCAAUCAGAGUUAUAGCACAUAUUAAGCUAUCACCUGUGUGGGGUCAUCAUGGAGGCAAGCAAAGGGCAGUUUUCCAGGAAGUUGAACUUGGCUUCAAGUCCAAGCUUUGACAUGUUGUGUGACAGAUCUUUCUUGGGCAGUUGCAAUAACCACAAAUCUACUCAUGCCCAAAAUGGAACCCAUGUCAGACCAAAGUAACACUUGCAGCAAUAUCCAAGCUGCCAAGCCAAUGAGGUUUUGCUGCAGUUGCUGCCAGGAGCAAAGGUGAUGACUGAUCAGGACUAACUCAAAGGCAGCUGUAAGAGCAGAAAGCCCACCCCAAAAUGCGUAACAACUCCCCUAAAAUUGCAGCCCUGAAGUUCCCUACAGUUUGCAGACAGAUCCACAGUCCCAAUAUCUCUCUUUCUGCAGAGUGGCUGCUCGGAGUCUUCACUCCAGCUAUUGUUUUCUCCCUUCUAUUCUGUUGGGAGAGGGCCUCGAGAAUCUUCUAAGCUUUCUUCCCAAAUAAGUGAGUGACUUUGUACACCUCUCAUUUACCACCCAAGGCUCCUGAUACCCCUCUUUCCUGGUUCAAAUGUUUCCAUUUGGAGAGAGUGUUGUGACUGGGAGGUACACGCCACACCAGAGCAUUGACUCCUCUGUCUUUAGGUGAUGGCUCUUCAUAUCAAAACCUCAUCUCCAUCAGUGAAAUUUCAGUUUUCCCAAAGCUUUCUCACAGGGUAGGAAUAAGGAUUAAAGUUGGUGCCACCUGUAACUGUAUAUAAAUUGUGGUUUAGCACUGUGCUGGGGCUGGGGUGUGUGUGGCUCAAUGUAUAAAAAAAAAAACUUGCUGCUUGGGUAUAAAGAUCUGAGUUCCGAUUUGAAAGGAGUAGCCACGUCUAUAACCCCAGCACUUUAAAGCAAGGUGGGAGGCAGAAACAGGUGAGUACCAGAGAGCAUGCAGGGCAGCUAGCCUGGCAUGCGAGAACAAAUGACAAUAGACCUUUCCUCAAACAGGGUGGAAAGUGAAGACCAGCACUCAGGGUUGUCCCCUGGCACGUGUCCUGGCAUGUACAUGCACACAUUCACACAUACAAGUAUAUACAUGCACACAAAAUAUUAUGAAAAUGAGGCACAUCACUUUUCCUAUGUCCCCUUCUCCUAUGGAAGGCGAGAUGAAUUGAGACAGCCUGCAUUCUUUUGUUAACAGUGUGUGGAACUUGCACAAUGUAGAACACAAAUCUCAGCAUGAGAAAUGGGCUUCUGGUUCCCCUGGUGCAGUUGGGGCCACUGCUACUGGUGUGGAGGGAAAUGAGGGUAAAGCCGAGUCUCCCCUGAGUCUCUGAGUCUCAGGCAAAGUCUGCACUCUGCUUCUGCAGGCAUGGGCUGCUAUUGUAGUUUGUUUUGCCUGCCAUG